UACAGAGGGGGCAAGCGUUGUUCGGAAUUACUGGGCGUAAAGGGCGCGUAGGCGGCCCGCUAAGUCGAACGUGAAAUCCCCGAGCUCAACUCGGGAACUGCGUCCGAUACUGGCGGGCUUGAAUCCGGGAGAGGGAUGCGGAAUUCCAGGUGUAGCGGUGAAAUGCGUAGAUAUCUGGAGGAACACCGGUGGCGAAGGCGGCAUCCUGGACCGGCAUUGACGCUGAGGCGCGAAAGCUAGGGGAGCGAACGGG
Molecule: ribosomal RNA, 253 nt
Filed under: uncultured bacterium
Lineage: Bacteria
Description: partial 16S ribosomal RNA
Rfam family: Bacterial small subunit ribosomal RNA
Source: RNAcentral